CAUAGAAAUGAAAAUAUGCUUUCUGUGGUAGCAGCUAACAUUGCCUUUAAGGGCAUAGUAGUAGGAGUACAGAGUUCAGAUCAGCAGGAAGUAGGGAUCAAGGGAAAUCCUUGGACAUUCUCAAAGACCUCAUAAACAUCACUCUAACCUGGGAGGGUUGACCAACAGUGUAUGAAGAGUGGCUGUAAAAAUACUCAUAGAAGCCAAUAAAGCUUUCAGACUUUGUCCUACACAGUGAGCCACUGUCCCAGAUGAAUCCGUAAUGGCCACUAUCAGCAGAGCUCUGAGAAUCUACCAGAUGACACUUCACCAAUUGUAGGGAGAAGACAGAGGAGCCUGAGGGCAUCAGGGAAGUUCAGAGUGAGAAGAGUAUGGUAUUUUCCUUUGAGAACAGGGCUUCAGAUGCCAGCUUUGCACCUGGAUAAGCUGUGGCAUCUCAGGAAAGUGACUUCACCUCUCCAAAUAUUACUCUCCUCAUCUGUAUUGUUAAAGAGGGGUGAGAAGGUUACAUGUCAAGCUGAGAGAUAAAAGGAGGCCAAUAAACGUUAGUCUUCCUUA
Felis catus (domestic cat) is the source of this 558-nucleotide long non-coding RNA. RefSeq lists it as uncharacterized. The transcript is spliced from 2 exons. The record is from RefSeq and is a predicted model, not a curated record. NCBI's taxonomy places the organism in Eukaryota, Metazoa, Chordata, Mammalia, Carnivora, Felidae.